RNAcentral lists this small RNA (132 nucleotides) under Escherichia coli. RNAcentral's name for it is "RtT sRNA". It matches the Rfam family "RtT RNA". From Rfam's summary of the family: This family represents a bacterial cis-regulatory element known as RtT RNA. The exact function of RtT is unknown although it is thought that it may be involved in changing the cellular response in relation to amino acid starvation. RNAcentral also lists the same sequence under 4 other names. Lineage: Bacteria; Pseudomonadati; Pseudomonadota; Gammaproteobacteria; Enterobacterales; Enterobacteriaceae. The record is from RNAcentral.
AUUCUGCCCAAGCGGGGAAGGAUGAGAAGCUUCGACCAAGGUUCGACUCGAGCGCCAGCGAGAGAGCGUUGCCGUAGGCAACGACCCGAAGGGCGAAGCGCGCAGCGCUGAGUAAUCCUUCCCCCACCACCA